UAAUAUGCAAAGGUAAGAACUGGAAAGGGAUGAGAAAAUGUGAAAAUGGGAGAGGUUUUAGGGCUACUAUUUCACUGGAGGAGGAAGAUGUGGGCUGGCUGGUGGAAGCGCUUGAAGAUUUCUACUGAAGAAAGGGGGAAUCUUACUGGAGAAAGAACAAAAGAGGAAGAAACCACAGACUAUGGAUUGCUUUGGGAUGGAAUAGGUAUGGAAGAUUCUUGGUGCUGUCGGAGGAACGUGGAAGCACAUGAACCGCAUUUUUAUUCCUGAUGGGGACAAGCAGAGUGUUGGUGGAGACUGAUGAAGGCAGUUUUCGAGCUGGC
Molecule: long non-coding RNA, 323 nt
Filed under: Carica papaya (papaya)
Lineage: Eukaryota; Viridiplantae; Streptophyta; Magnoliopsida; Brassicales; Caricaceae
Description: long non-coding RNA (CPAP_LNC008034)
Source: RNAcentral